UACGUAGGGGGCAAGCGUUAUCCGGAUUUACUGGGUGUAAAGGGAGCGUAGACGGUGAGACAAGUCUGAAGUGAAAGCCCGGGGCUCAACCCCGGGACUGCAUUGGGAACUACCGGGCUGGAGUGCCGGAGAGGUAGGCGGAAUUCCUAGUGUAGCGGUGAAAUGCGUAGAUAUCACGCAGAACCCCGAUUGCGAAGGCAGCAUACCGGUGCACAACUGACGCUCAGGCACGAAAGCGUGGGUAUCGAACAGG
This 253-nucleotide ribosomal RNA is filed under the name uncultured bacterium. RNAcentral describes it as "partial 16S ribosomal RNA". It matches the Rfam family "Bacterial small subunit ribosomal RNA", at positions 524 to 776 of the family's 1533-position model. The record is from RNAcentral.